RNAcentral lists this ribosomal RNA (1410 nucleotides) under Triticum aestivum (bread wheat). RNAcentral describes it as "partial small subunit ribosomal RNA". The record is from RNAcentral. Lineage: Eukaryota; Viridiplantae; Streptophyta; Magnoliopsida; Poales; Poaceae.
AUGGCGGCUGCCGCGACGGCGACGACGGCGGCGGCGGGGAAGCUCCCAUUCCCGCUGCUCACGAGGAUGAACUACGCGGCGUGGGCGAUGAGGAUGAAGUACCUCUUGCGCGCCAACGGCGCGUGGGGUGCCGUUGAUCGCGAGGCCUCAUCGGAGGUCGACAAGGGCAAGGAGGAGAUGGCCAUGACGAUCAUCUCCCAGUCCAUCGACGACUCGACGCUGCUGCGAGUUGCGGAGAAGGAGACCGCAGCCGAUUCCGUGGAUGAUUUCGCGGCGAGGUUCACGACGCUCGUGGGGCGCAUCCGUGAGCUUGGUGAUGCGAUGGAGGAGAAAUAUGUCGUGAAGAAGCUUCUCCGAGCCGUCUCCAACAAGUUCAUCCACGUUGCGUCAUCGAUUGCAUUGUUCGGCGACACCAACAAGAUGGCCAUGGAGGAGGCCAUUGGUUCACUCAAGGCGCACGAGGAGCUCGUCAAGGGGCGGGAGACGACACAUAAAGAAGAGCAGCUCCUCAUGGCGAGAGGGCAUGACUCAUCGCGAGGACGCGGCCGCGGUGGCCGUGGCCGUGGCCGCGGACAUGGCCGUGGUGGAGGGCGCAGAGACAAGAGCGAGGUGAUGACGAAGACGAUGCCGCGUGACUCUUCAGCGAGUGGAGCGUUGGUGCCGAGCGACUCGGCGGCGAUGGCGGCUGCCGCGACGGCGACGACGGCGGCGGCGGGGAAGCUCCCAUUCCCGCUGCUCACGAGGACGAACUACGCGGCGUGGGCGAUGAGGAUGAAGUACCUCUUGCGCGCCAACGGCGCGUGGGGUGCCGUUGAUCGCGAGGCCUCAUCGGAGGUCGACAAGGGCAAGGAGGAGAUGGCCAUGACGAUCAUCUCCCAGUCCAUCGACGACUCGACCCUGCUGCGAGUUGCGGAGAAGGAGACCGCAGCCGAUUCCGUGGAUGAUUUCGCGGCGAGGUUCACGACGCUCGUGGGGCGCAUCCGUGAGCUUGGUGAUGCAAUGGAGGAGAAAUAUGUCGUGAAGAAGCUUCUCCGAGCCGUCUCCAACAAGUUCAUCCACGUUGCGUCAUCGAUUGCAUUGUUCGGCGACACCAACAAGAUGGCCAUGGAGGAGGCCAUUGGUUCACUCAAGGCGCACGAGGAGCUCGUCAAGGGGCGGGAGACGACACAUAAAGAAGAGCAGCUCCUCAUGGCGAGAGGGCAUGACUCAUCGCGAGGACGCGGCCGCGGUGGCCGUGGCCGUGGCCGCGGACAUGGCCGUGGUGGAGGGCGCAGAGACAAGAGCGAGGUACAAUGUUAUAACUGUGAUGACUUUGGACAUUUUGCUUGGGAGUGUCCGGAGAAGAAGAAGGAGAACGAGGAGAAGGCACUGCUGGCCGGCUACGGCAGCGACGGACCGGCUCUCCUAUGA